AAAAAAUCAGUCUUUUUUAUUUCUUUAGUAUUUUAAACACUCAAAAAACUCACUGUUAAAUAAAAUAAAUAGUUAUGUAUGACGAAGAUGGGAGAUACCACAGAAAGAUUUUCAGAGCACCGCGACGUUUGGACCUAACGCCUUAAAAGGCCUAUACCAUCGUUUCUCAACCUGAGGUUCGCAAUGUGACAAAAGGUCACAUAUAUCAGAAAUUAUUAAACGCUAAUAUACAAUUUGUAUUUAUAAUUUUUUUUAAAUUUAAAGUUCAAUAAUUUAAUUUGAUAAGAUGGCUGUGUUUGUUUAACAUUUAAAAGCAAUAUUAGUGAUAUAACAUUCGUUUACAUUUCUUUUUCAUAUGAAGUGUGGGUAUGCUAUUUAUUUGCUUAAUACGCAAUUUAAUAUUCGUAACUGGUUAAACCGAUAAUUAGGCUCAAAUUAGUAUUUACGACAAGGGGGUCGUGAGGUGAUUGACUUUAUUUUUUACCUGUUUCAGGGGUCACAAGAUUAAAAAGGUGGAGAAGCGAAGCCUUAGACAAUAGUCCAUAUUAUAGUUACAGCUAUAAUAUAUACACUGCGUAUUAGCAUUUACAAUUUUUUACAUUCUCUCCUUCCACUCAGAAUUCAAAAAAAUACCUCAGAAUGGAUUCAUUACUAGUUUACGGUAUUCCAGGGAAUUGGAACAGGAUUAACCGUUGCAGGGAAUUUCUGGAAGCGACAACCUUAGCUGAUUUUGACAAUGCUAACUUAACCUAACCUAACUGCUGAAGCUAAGAGUAUGAAAUUUGGUAGCUUCGUUUUAUAAUGCAAGAGCAAAAUAAGGCAGAAAUUUAAAUAAUUCGCAUUUUUAAAGAGGUCCACAAACAAGGAUUUUAAGAUUCACAGGGGAAAUUGAAAUUUUUUUGUUUAUAAAUGGUUGCCAUUGUUUACUUAGGCAAAUAAGAUAAAAACAUGUAUCAAAUCGUCGCGUUUAAAAUGGCUCCGUUUAAACAAACUAUAUCUUAAAAUAUUACCUUUUAAGUAAUUUGAUUACAUUGUAUAGUAAGUUAUUUGUAUUUAAUUUAAGUUAUUUUUUAGUCAAAUUACUAAGUUACUCGUUACUCUAU
Long non-coding RNA from Myzus persicae (green peach aphid), 1103 nucleotides. RefSeq lists it as uncharacterized. The record is from RefSeq and is a predicted model, not a curated record. NCBI's taxonomy places the organism in Eukaryota, Metazoa, Arthropoda, Insecta, Hemiptera, Aphididae. The transcript is spliced from 3 exons.